UUUAGGCCGUGUUUGAUAGGGUAGUUUAGGCCAGAUUACUUAUUAGGUAAUAUGGGUUAAUUUGCUGUUUGAUAGCUUAGAAAAAUAAACUUUGAGGCCCGAAAAAAGGGCAAGGCCCGCUGAUAAUUCACUGUUCAACCUCGUUUGUAUAUCCUCCACCGAGGGCCAGUCACAGUUUCUUGAAUGCUACAGUCUAUGGGGCAUAGCGAUUGGAGUAUGGCUGGGCCGGCAUGACUAUGGCGGUGACGGUGCAAUUGGCGGCGCGAUUACCAAGUAUUGGUGGUUGGUGCAAUUGGGUGAGAUAAAGUAGCUAAAUUCGGGAAUUAUUUCUGCAAUUUUUCUAUGCAAUUGGGGCAUGAAGGUCAUGGGUUUUUAGGUGUGAUGUUAUGGUUUUUUGUUCUGGGAUCAAAAAAUAAGAAAAUAUAGUGUUAUGUUAUGAUUUUCUUGAUUUUUUUGGUGAAUGACAAGUGGUUUUCUAGAAAAUUAGAGACGAUGAUUUUGCCUUU
This is a long non-coding RNA of Salvia miltiorrhiza (redroot sage), 506 nucleotides long. RefSeq lists it as uncharacterized. The record is from RefSeq and is a predicted model, not a curated record. The transcript is spliced from 2 exons. NCBI's taxonomy places the organism in Eukaryota, Viridiplantae, Streptophyta, Magnoliopsida, Lamiales, Lamiaceae.